AGAGUUUGAUCCUGGCUCAGGAUGAACGCUAGCGGCAGGCCUAAUACAUGCAAGUCGAACGAUACCAAUGGGCUUGCUCAUUGGAAAAGUGGCGCACGGGUGCGUAACGCGUAUGAAACCUACCUUUAUCUGGGGGAUAGCCUUUCGAAAGAAAGAUUAACACCGCAUAACAUCACGAAAGGGCAUCCUUUUUUGAUCAAAUAUUUAUAGGAUAAAGAUGGUCAUGCGUGACAUUAGCUAGUUGGAGAGGUAAUGGCUCACCAAGGCGACGAUGUCUAGGGGAUCUGAGAGGAUGACCCCCCACACUGGUACUGAGACACGGACCAGACUCCUACGGGAGGCAGCAGUAAGGAAUAUUGGUCAAUGGGCGCAAGCCUGAACCAGCCAUGCCGCGUGCAGGAAGACGGCCCUACGGGUUGUAAACUGCUUUUAUUCGUGAAUAAAUCACCUUACGUGUAAGGUGUUGAAAGUAGCGAAAGAAUAAGGAUCGGCUAACUCCGUGCCAGCAGCCGCGGUAAUACGGAGGAUCCAAGCGUUAUCCGGAUUUAUUGGGUUUAAAGGGUGCGUAGGCGGAUUAUUAAGUCAGAGGUGAAAUUUUGCGGCUCAACCGUAAGCUUGCCUUUGAUACUGAUAAUCUUGAAUUAACUUGAGGUAGGCGGAAUGUGACAAGUAGCGGUGAAAUGCAUAGAUAUGUCACAGAACACCAAUUGCGAAGGCAGCUUACUAAGGUUAUAUUGACGCUGAGGCACGAAAGCGUGGGGAUCAAACAGGAUUAGAUACCCUGGUAGUCCACGCCCUAAACGAUGAAUACUCGAUGUUAGCGAUAUACAGUAGCGUCAAAGCGAAAGCGU
Molecule: ribosomal RNA, 851 nt
Filed under: uncultured bacterium
Lineage: Bacteria
Description: bacterial SSU rRNA
Rfam family: Bacterial small subunit ribosomal RNA
Source: RNAcentral